Molecule: ribosomal RNA, 253 nt
Filed under: uncultured bacterium
Lineage: Bacteria
Description: partial 16S ribosomal RNA
Rfam family: Bacterial small subunit ribosomal RNA
Source: RNAcentral
UACGGAGGGUGCAAGCGUUAUCCGGAUUCACUGGGUUUAAAGGGUGCGUAGGUGGGCAGGUAAGUCAGUGGUGAAAUCUCUGGGCUUAACUCAGAAACUGCCAUUGAUACUAUCUGUCUUGAAUACCGUGGAGGUCAGCGGAAUAUGUCAUGUAGCGGUGAAAUGCUUAGAUAUGACAUAGAACACCAAUUGCGAAGGCAGCUGGCUACACGAAUAUUGACACUGAUGCACGAAGGCGUGGGGAUCAAACAGG